RNAcentral lists this long non-coding RNA (570 nucleotides) under Brassica napus (rape). Its description in RNAcentral is "long non-coding RNA (BNAP_LNC015665)". Lineage: Eukaryota; Viridiplantae; Streptophyta; Magnoliopsida; Brassicales; Brassicaceae. The record is from RNAcentral.
AGCGAUUUACAGUCUGUGUUGAAAUAGGUGUUAAGGAAGCCCUUAGAUAGGGCGGUGAUAAUAGUCCAGCGGAGGGCUAGAGCUUCAGCGACGAGUGGUGAUGACACGUUUCUCUCCAUUCUCGAGUCAUGGUGAAUGGUUUGACCUUCUCUGUUCUGAAAGAUACAUCCGAAGGCUGCUGUAUUACUUUCUUUUGACCACGCUGUAUCAGAAAAACCAAGCGUUAGAGCAUCCAGGUCGGGUAUGCUCAAUGGUUGGCUCUGUAGUCAUGAUGGUGGGGCUGAAGGUGCCUGCGCCGAGUUCCAUUCGCGUGCGUUCCGGAUCGCUCUAGAGACAGUUUCCUCUGGAGAGAUUCUCCAAUCUUCAAAAAUCAGUUUAUUUCUCGCUGUCCAAAUUUCCCAGCAGAUCCAAGGAAAAAUAUCGGAUAUUAUUCCUAUCGGGGGUAAGCAGGCUGAAGUUUUGCAAGCCUUUAAAGCAUCAGUGAAGGCUGUGAUGUUUAUGUAGCUGUCAGGAUCAAAGUGAGGUGAUAGUAUCGUUGAAGACCAGACUCGUUUUGCAAACGCACAGUAG